UGGAGGGCAAGUCUGGUGCCAGCAGCCGCGGUAAUUCCAGCUCCAAUAGCGUAUAUUAAAGUUGUUGCAGUUAAAAAGCUCGUAGUUGAAUUUCGGGGUUCUACCGUUGGUCGGGCUUUGUCUGUACUGGUGUGUAGAAUUUCUACCUUCUGGGGAACCAUCAUGCUAUUAAUUUAGCGUGGUGGGAAACCAGGACCUUUACCUUGAAAAAAUUAGUGUGUUCAAAGCAGGCUUAUGUCUGAAUACAUUAGCGUGGAAUAAUAGAAUAGGACGGUGGUCCUGUUUUGUUGGUUUCUGAAUCACCGUAAUGAUUAAUAGGGAUAGUUGGGGGCAUUAGUAUUCAAUUGUCAGAGGUGAAAUUCUUGGAUUUAUUGAAGACUAACUUCUGCGAAAGCAUUUGCCAAGGAUGUUUUCAUUAAUCAAGAACGAAAGUUAGGGGAUCGAAGACGAUCAGAUACCGUCGUAGUCUUAACCAUAAACUAUGCCGACUAGGGAUCGGACGAUGUUAAUUUUUCUUGACUCGUUCGGCGCCUUACGGGAAAC
This 543-nucleotide ribosomal RNA is filed under the name uncultured Glomeromycotina. RNAcentral's name for it is "SSU rRNA". It matches the Rfam family "Eukaryotic small subunit ribosomal RNA", at positions 549 to 1098 of the family's 1831-position model. Lineage: Eukaryota; Fungi; Glomeromycota. The record is from RNAcentral.